CUAGACAUUUCUAGAGGCAGAGGAGAUCAUUUCAUGUUUAUGGAAAAAACUGAUACAAAGGCAUAAGGUAAUGUGGAGCUGCUAAAGUUUCUUUAAAAGAGGACUGACAUGGUCAGACCUGUUCUUCAGGAAUUUCAAAUUGACAGCUUGUGUGAAGGACAGAUUGGAGAGGGGAGAGAGUCUGGAAACAAAGAGAUCAGUGAGAAGGCUGUUGGAGCAGUCCCUGUGAGAGGGGAAGGAUACUUGAAAAGAUAGGAACUGAAGACAUCUCAAGUUGAUUCAGCUUAGGAGAGCUCCCCUGCUUGAGUUGUUCAUCACGAUCCACCAGCCAGUCAUCACCAAGCUCCUCUUGACAACUUUGUACUCCAGCAACCAGGAAGUGAUGUCAACAAGCUGAAUUCUCAGUGCCCUAAGCCAACCAAGACUCAAGGAUGGUCUCAAUACCUCUUAUGAAAAAAAAAAUACAUACAUAUAUAUACUAAUUUGCAUAGAGGGAAGGUUUGGGAUAUUGUUCCCAUCAGAAAGGGGGUGGUCAACAAUCAAGCAGAGAAAUCAAGGAGGACAACUGAGAAAAGGCCAUUGGAUUUAGCAUUAUAGGUGUAAUAUUAAAUCCCCUCUGGGGCCAUUCCUUCAACUCCCACAGCCAUUGGCAGGCUGUAUACCCAGAGAGUCAUUGCUACUUCUCUGUCAAAGUUCUAAGGGUAACCCUCAAAUUUGUUGGAGUUUCUGGUGCUGUUACUCACAAGACCUACCUGUGAAUUUCCCAUCAGCCAGCAGUCUCAAUUAGUUUUUUAAAAGGAUAUUUAUUAAGAUUGUAUAUUAAGAAUAUAUUAAGUAUAUUAAUUUAUAUGAAGAAUAGUUGGUAUGAAAUAUUUCUCACCAAAAAUCUGGGGCAUAAGUCCCAUAAGUACACAGAGAUUCUAAAGGAAAAGUGGGUUUAAACUUAGCGCAAUGGUAGUGUGGCAAAGGGUUACAUAGUUCCUACUUACUAUAAGUCUUUUGUUUUCCUUUUUAGAAUCUUCAUGAAAUUCCCCUUAGGUGUAUGUAGCACUCUGCCAGGCUCUAAGGGUCAGUGCUUUCAAAGAGGCUUGAAUUUUUCUGUCCUAGGUGUGCCUAGUUUGUCUUCAAUAUACCUCUCAGUUCCUGAUUGGAUGUAUUUUCUCCUUUUGAUUCAGUCCUUCCAGCGACAUGAGCAAUGAGAGCACUUCCCAUAGGCUCAAUCUUUGUCCUUCUCCCCUUAGUGCUUUUCAGUAUCAGCACUAGGGUAUGAUUCCUUAUAGUGCUUCUGAACCUGAAAGGUACCUAAUAUUUUCUGCUUUGCUGACACACUACAUGUUUUUAAAUUUGCUGCCUAUAUUAUACACAAGUCUAGAGAUGUAUAUGAUUCAUUCAGCCAAUCAUGAAAUAAUUUCUUUUGAGGUGUCUUCUGCUUUUAUCCAUUGACUCAAGUACUUUGCUUCUCGAAAACUGAUUAAGGUCUUGUGCCCACCUAGUUUAUAUCUUCCAUGGAUUGACCUGCAUACUCUAUCAUAUACCAAUUGAAUAAAACCCUAAAUAUAUAAAGUCAGGCCAUUUUUUAAAUUUGAAGAAAAUAAAAGCAUAUAUGCUUCACAAACAUGGCUAUAAGAAUUUUUAACCAGAAAAAGGAGUAGAAGUGAUCAUUUUCCCCCAGUUAAUAACAUCUAGACACAUUUUAUGGAAAAAAAUUCCUUUUUAAAAUUUUUAUACUCUACAUUGUUUAUCUCCUCUUUUUCAAGUCACUUCUAUGCCUUCUUUGUUUACAAAUCUUACCCUUAACCAUAGUUGUGAGAAUUGUUUCCUACUGUUCUGCUUUAAUUUGUUUGAUAAUGUAAUUUUUUAAAAUUUAGGUGCUGGUCCUUUUGAAGCUUAUUGUAUUUAUAUUUCAUAAAUGUUAGUUUAAAACUAUUGUCUUCCAGGCUACUUUUCAGUUUUUCCAGCAAUUCAUGUCAUAAGGCAGAGGGGAGCAGUUGAGGAGGGGGUCUUCCUUGAGCAGUUUUUGUCUUUAGUAUAAUGAGGGAGAGGGAAGAACCAGAUAUUCUAAAUGGGAUAAUCCGAAAAGGAAGGCAUCCAGUAAGGGAGAGGUGGGGUGGGGGUGGAGGGAGAAUAGGAAAGGCUUCUUGUAGAAGCUGAGGUUAAGCUGAGAUUUGAAGAAAGUCAGGGAAGGCAGGAAGCAGAAGUGAAGAGACAGAGCAUUCUAGGUAUGGGGUACAUCCAAUGAAAAGGUAGAAGAGAUGGAGUAUUGUGGGGAACAGCAAGCAAACCAUUGAUUUUUGGUUUCAGCUUUGUUUAUCUCUUCUUUGAUUUUUAUCAUUUCUACUUUGAAACCUGUUUGGAGAUGAUUCAUUUAUCCAUUUUCUAAUUUUUUAGUUGUACUGUGUGUGUGACUCAUUGGUCUUUUUUUUUUCUUGUGUCUAUAUAGCACAUGGAAAUAUAAAUUUUCCUUUGAGGAAUGUUUUAGAUGCAGCUCACAAAUUCUGGCAUGUUGUCUCAUAUAAUUUUCUUUAAUAUUAUUGUUCUAUUAUUUGUUCUUUGGCCCACUCAUUCAUUCUUUAGGAUAAUAUUAUUCCGCAUUUAAGUUUACCUUUUCACAUUUCCUCACUGAUUACUCUUUUAUUGUAUUGUUGUCUCUAAAGGGUAUAUUUAAUUUAAAUGUCUGCAUUUAUUGAUGAGUUCUUUAUGCUCUAGCAAGGUGGUCUUCAAAAUGAGAUGACUGUGAUCAUUCCCCAAAAGGGGCUGCAGACUGACCCACUUAUGUGAUAAAUCAGUUUGAGAGUGAGACAACAGGUCACAUUUCUCUGUGUGAUAAUCAAUCUUGGGCAUAUCUCCAGCUCAUGCACAUCUGUCCUCAUACCCCAAACAUUUCCCCAACAACCUCCUUCUUUGUGCAAUCUCUCAUUUCCUCCUUACUUAUUCUAGCAUUGGCUACCCAGGGUUCCCAGCCACCCCACAGCAUCAGUUCACAUGCCAUUGAGAAAACUUUUUCCCACCACCUGCCCCCGAAGAUUAUUUUAUGGCUGCAGCAGGCAUUGUUGGAGAACAGACUUUGUACUCACAGAACAAUGAUCGGGGGAGUAAAAAUAAUGCCCCACCCUUUUCUUCUUGGGUGUGACAGAGUAGGUGACACAGGAUAAGCAGAUGUAGCUGGCUUGUGAUCUGCAUUGCAAAUAUAAUUACAUUAUCCUCCCCACCCUCCAACCUACCCCUUUUCCAAACUUCCAUAACACUUUCUAGGGGACUACCAUCCUUCUACUCUUCCAGGUUCUAAUAACCUCAGUGUCAUCUUUGACUGCUCACUUACACAAGUUCAGGCCUUUAUCAUUUGUCACCUGCACUGCUGUAAUAAUCUGUAAGUUGAUUUUUCCGACUCCAAACUCUCCUUUUUACAAUUCAUCAUCUACUCAUCCGUCAAAUUGAUAUUUCUAAGGAACAGAUCUGAUCAUGUUGGUCUUCUACUUGAUAAAAUCCAGUUGUUUCCUAUUGACACUAAAAUUAAAUAUUUAUUUUGUGCCUCGUCCUUUUUCAUUUCUAUUUUUGUGUAAGUUUUGCAAUGUGUAUAAUUAUUACUACCAUAUAUAAAUAUGUGGAGCUGCAUUAUUAAAAAUUAUUUUACUGUGAAAGGUCAAUAAUAAUUUUUUUUAAUUGCUACUCUAGAACACUGUCAAUGUUUGUAAAAAUGUCAGACAAUGAUGAAAAAUAAGCAUAUACUUUAAGAUUCAUACUCAAUAAUCCACAAAGGUCUAUUAUAACUUUUUAAAAAAUAAUCUGCUCAGAUCCUUAUUUCUUUGUCAUUCUGUUAGCUUGGUCUGAAUCUGAAAAAGCAUGGUAUAGUGAACGGAGUAUGAGGAUGUGGGUUCAAAUUCCCCAUCUAUGACCUUGGACAAAUCAUAUAACCUUCCAAGGCCUAAUUUCCUCAUUUGUAAAGUGAGAAUCCUGGCUUAAAUGGACUCUGAGCUAUAGAUGUAUGGUCCUCUGUGGAUACCAUGACACUGAAGUCCCCUAAUAUUAUUUUCUGCUAUCUGGGUCUUGUCAUUCACUUGACUUUUCCUUUGGUACUUUAAUGCCAUGGUAUUCAGUAAAAGUGUAAGUAAUACUGAAGCUGUUUCAUUGUCUGUGGUGCCUUUAAGCAUAAUGUGCUUGUCCCUCAUUUUUCCUGCCUACCUCUCUUAACUGUAUUUGCUUUUGCUUUGUCUUAAAUCAUGAUAGUCAUUUCUACUUUUCUGGAUUCAACUGAAGCAUAAUAAAGUCUAUUUUAACUCUUUA
Non-coding RNA from Phascolarctos cinereus (koala), 4281 nucleotides. The record is from RefSeq and is a predicted model, not a curated record. Lineage: Eukaryota; Metazoa; Chordata; Mammalia; Diprotodontia; Phascolarctidae.